CCUACGGGAGGCAGCAGUGGGGAAUUUUGCGCAAUGCUCGUAAGAGUGACGCAGCGACGCCGCGUGAAUGACGAAGGCCUUCGGGUCGUAAAGUUCUUUCGACAGGGAAGAAAAUGCCUAUAAGUAACUGUGUAUGUAUUGACGGUACCUGUAUAAGCAGCCCCGGCUAACUCCGUGCCAGCAGCCGCGGUAAUACGGAGGGGGCGGGCGUUGUUCGGAGGGACUGGGCGUAAAGAGCACGUAGGCGGUGUUGUAAGUCAUUAGUCAAAGACUAGAGCUCAACUUUAGUAAGGCUAGUGAUACUAUAAUACUAGAGUAUCAGAGAGGAUUGCAGAAUUCCUGGUGGAGCGGUGAAAUGCGUAGAUAUCAGGAGGAAUACCGUUAGCGAAGGCGGCAAUCUGGCUGGAAACUGACGCUGAGGUGCGAAAGCGUGGGUAGCAAACAGGAUUAGAUACCCUAGUAGUC
Molecule: ribosomal RNA, 465 nt
Filed under: uncultured bacterium
Lineage: Bacteria
Description: partial 16S ribosomal RNA
Rfam family: Bacterial small subunit ribosomal RNA
Source: RNAcentral